RNAcentral lists this ribosomal RNA (137 nucleotides) under Lepadogaster lepadogaster (shore clingfish). RNAcentral's name for it is "partial 28S ribosomal RNA". The record is from RNAcentral. Lineage: Eukaryota; Metazoa; Chordata; Actinopteri; Blenniiformes; Gobiesocidae.
UGAGGUGGGAUCCCGGGAAGGCUCUCGCGGUCGGCCCCGGGCGCACCACCGGCCCGUCUCGCCCGCCCCGUCGGGGAGGUGGAGCCUGAGCGCGUGCGAUAGGACCCGAAAGAUGGUGAACUAUGCCUGGGCAGGGC